This is an RNA transcript of Anguilla rostrata (American eel), 12197 nucleotides long. RefSeq lists it as uncharacterized. The transcript is spliced from 11 exons. NCBI's taxonomy places the organism in Eukaryota, Metazoa, Chordata, Actinopteri, Anguilliformes, Anguillidae. The record is from RefSeq and is a predicted model, not a curated record.
AGGGGGUGUGUGAACAUGUGUAUAUGCAUUUCUAAGCGGGCUUUCGCUUAUUUUUUAAGAACGAGCGCGGAUAUACAUAGCCUACAUGCACGUAUCCCUGUUUAAGUGUGUAAACAUUAGUACUGAGGGAAAUCCAGAGAGGUAGCUUGCUUGCAGUUGUAUGGUUGUAGUCGUUUUGGUAGUGAUGCAUUUCCUUUUGGGUACAUUUACCUUGCUGGCUAGCUCACAAACGGUGUGAAAGCAAAGGAAAGAGAAGGGAAGGAGGGGGCGGGGGUUUUAUGGACCUCACCGGUUACGGGACUCAAAGAAGCCUUGAUUCUGCACCUAUUUUUUGGAGGUGAGGACAAAACAAAAGAAAAAAAUUGAAGGAAAGGGCCUUGCGGACUGUUUGUGACGGGGCCCCCGACUCCGUCGCUAAUGGUCGGGUGAUCUCGACGACUGAAGGAGAAGCGGCAGAACAUUCUACUCAAGACCGGGGAUUCCUUCUUCAAGACAGAAAUAACACGAACCAGCAUUUUAGUGCUCAUUGAGCCGUGAUUGUUCUCUAGUAUUCGUCGGAGUCAGAUCUUCAAAUGCGACGAAAGGCUUAUAAAUAAAAAGGUGAACUGACUCAUGAAGACGAAGGAAAAAAGACAUGACUGAACAAUGUUUGUUGAUGGAGACCAAACUAGGAAAGAAAACGGAGCGAAACACAAAGGAUAAAAAGAAGGGCACUUAAGAAGAAUCAAAGUGGAGGCCAGAAAAAUUGAUCGCAACCAUCUAAGUGUAAUAAAGUAUAUAGUCAGAGGAAAAAGGACCAAAGACUUCCUUAUUUAUUUAUAUCCUAUUAUGGGACAUCCAGCAAAAACUAUUAAAACCAACAUGCAUACAUUCAGUAUUGAACAUCCUUUUUAGAAAUGGAUGGGCUUCAUGGAUUUUCUUUUUUCACCAAACAAGAAUGUCAUUUACCUAAACAUGAGGACCUAUGGCCCUGGAUUAAAACCAAGCUUAACAUUAAUAUCAAGUAUUAAUUGCACUGUAAAGUGUAGGGUGUACUGAUGCUAUAUCUGACACAUGAAGCUUGAUUCCCCCUCUCCCCUUUGAAAAAAUCUGAAAAAUUGGAUGCAAUACCAGAUUAUUCGGGCUCAAGAAUUGCAGUGACUGCCAUAUGGUCAGCAUCCGCUCCUGCGAUGAUGUGAACCCUUGUCACAACUUCUGUUUUCAUCUAAGAAUUAUUACAGCCACUGCUGCAACUCUCCUCUGUUGCUUCUGUGCCGUUGCUACUGUUGUAAACGUGAUUUUAAAUGCUCCUAUAGUGCCAAACUGCUACAGCCAUAUUUUGAUAAUUUCAACAUCUGCCUCUUCUGUGUCAGUGAUUGUAAGAAUUUAUCCAGUGGCUGUAACAGCAGUCUCAUUGUGUUUCCCCUUUAACUUUAAUUCAAGUCAUCGCUUCCACUUUUUUAAAGCUCUGAUCUACUUGCCAGUCUUUUGCUUCUACAGCAAAGACUUAUGAAGUUGAGCUGUCACACAUGUUCCAUAUUUACCUAUAACAGUGAUAGACUUUUCUUCUCUGGCAUUCCAAGCUACCAGUUCCUGCAGUUUUGGAUGCAGUGUAAAACAGACUAAUUAAACUGCAGCAACGGAAGCGGUCUUACCCAGUCCUGCAAAAUCCAAGAUAUAUAUACGUAUUGUUUUAUAUUUUUGAGUUUUGAAAAGUCGUGUAUAUUUUUAAAAUGCAGAAUUUUCCUGACACCGCUGCUUCUCCAGCUCCCCACCGUGGGUUUUCUAGUGUGACUGGUGCACGGGGGAGGAAUUCCUCUUAUCCACUCCAGCCGUCAGAACUUCUGAGCUCUUCACGAAUGCCAGACGAAUAUGCUGGUAUGCAGCAGCAAAAUCCUCAGACACAAAACCAACACCCAUCCCUCCACACAAGCCAGGCAGCCCUCAUGCGGGGUUAUGAGGCUAGAAACCGAGGAAGGGGGGCUGAAGGAGUCUUACAAGGUAACAGUAAACAUGGCAGCAAUGAUAACAACCCAUACCGAAAGGAAACAAUGGAUUAUUAUUUUUUGAUGAGUAGCAAAGAAGGACAGAGAAGAGGAAGUCAUGGAUUUGGAUAUGGUGUAGGAUUGGGGUUUCAAAAUUUAGAUGGACACGUGCCUCACCAGUACCGAUCUAACAGACCUGCUUCAGGUACUGCUUCUGGUGUGUCACAAUAUCCGAUGGACUAUAGUGUUGCUGCCGGAUCAACUGUCAAUAGAAGCAGUAGUACUGGAACGUUUUCCCCCUCUCACCAAUAUAGUAUGGCCCAGAGCCCUUCAGUAACAGGACCACCUGUGCGCCACCAACAAGCCCAGAAUUACCCUUCCCAUCAAUCUCUACACCAAGAGCAGCACCAGAGAGGUUAUCCCCUAUCUGGACAAAGACUGCCUUCUCAGUUCUCCAACUGCCCUCCACCAAAUGCAACAGCAGGGUCAGCAGGGAAGUAUAAUUCCUCCCCACAGAGAUACUAUAGUGGGGGAAAUGGUGGAAAGUGUAAAAUGAAUAACACAGCCAGUGCCAAUUCAAGUCCAUGUUCCAAUAGAAAUUCAACCAACCCAGCCAGUACACGGGCAUUUGAGGGGAUGGGGCAGGGUUAUCCCAGUUCAGAUUAUCCAUAUAAUUCCAACCUCUCCCAUUCACAUCGCAACCACCAGCAGAAUUUGGGACCAAGCUAUGAGACUUCACACAAAAUGCACCCCUCCAUUUUGUUGAACCAACCAGGGCUUUCUUACCCUAAACAUCUCCCAUGUUCCACAUCAUCCUCCAAGUCUUCCACCUCUUCUACUAUUCCAUCUAUACAUCAGCUUUCUUCUCAUGAAGUAACAAAAUCCCCAAUGCAUACUCAAACCCAACAGCCUCAUUUCCAACAAAACUUCAGUCCAAUUUCUAACCCAUCUCCAGCUGCCUCCCUAGUCCAGUCACCCAGCUGCAGCUCUUCUCCAUCUCCACUGAUGGGUAUUUCAGACGGCCAGGGAAACUCCACUGCACCCCCUGCACACCAACCAUCAUAUUCUCUUUCAAACCUCAGAAACAACCACAGUCAUAAUAGGCUGUUACAGGUAAUGCCCCAGCAUAGUCCCACACCAAAUUCUAACAGCAGCAACAGUAGUUGUGGGAGCAGUGGGCAUGUAAACACUACUAGUCUGAAUUCAAGUUCGGGUGGUAAUCAUUCUGUUUUAACAAGAAGGGGAGUGGGGCAGAGGGGAAGCGAUCAGUGUACAUCAUCUUCCCACUACGCAAUUUCUCCACUUGAAAAACAAAUCCUGGACCCUGGUACCAACAGUCUGAAUGCUUUGACUUCACAGGUAGCCAAUUUGCCUAAUACAGUGCAGCAUGUGCUACUCUCUGACUCUCUUUUGCCAAACAACAAGGGCAAAGAUAAUGGACACCAGAUGCAGCCAUCACUGCAUUCUUCGCCCACAAGUCAGCAAAGGACUAUAAGUAAUAGUUCAACUAGAAGAGGAGAAGGUGGUAGAAAAAUAGAUAGUCAUGAUAUAAAUUCUGAAGGUGGAACUGAUGAGGAACACAUGACUGAACUGUCUAGAGAGGCCCAAGUUGAAUGUGACGAGCAUCCUUUGGAAGGGGAAGAUGAGACGAUGAGGCAAUUGAGUGAAACUAACAGUGUGGAUGGACUAACUGGUGGCAUCCCUAUGCAUCAGAAUCAAGCUAACUCCCUAGCUGAACAUGAUCGUCGGGGGUCUCCAUCUUAUGUGGAUAUGGAGGUAUCCAAAAAACAGAAGAAAACACGGUCUUCCCAGAGUCUCUCUCAAUUAAAAAGGACUGGUUAUAAAAUAUAUGGUUCAAUAUCCCCCUCUUCCCUUUCUUCUCACAUUCCAUCUGAGGGCCCUAGUACAGUCCAAGUCCCUCCAUGUCCCUCUCCUACACCCUUUACUAGUCUGAAGUCCCCUGCACCAUCACCCAUCCUCACCUGUUCAUCUCAGUUUAACUGUCUUGAAGAGCCUGAAGUUCCUGUUGUGAUUCCUACAAAUGAACUCAGAGGGAGAGAAUGGAAAGAAGAUAGUGAUAAAACAAAGAAAAAAGAGAAAAGUGGUAAGUCUCAAAGAGAAGAGAGCCAUGAUAUAAUGGAAAUGCAAACUAGGAGGAACAAUGAAGGUGAAAUUCAGUGUCCGCUCUCCUUCAACAACCAAGAGGAUAAAGGAGGAGAGAAAAAACAGGGAGUGCUUCUGGGUUCUGAGGAAACCCACAUGGAAGGAGGGGUUGGGGUGAUUGUUUCUACUCGUUCAGAGGUAAUUCAGUCUGAAACCGUGUCUGAACAACCACAAGGUAUAUCUGCAUCGCCACAUGGACCAGAUCUAACUAACAAUCCAGGAAUUCCAAACUAUUGCCCUAACAGGGAGAACCACUCUUAUAGUUCAUUCAGGGAUUCCAGCAGUCACAAUGGAGAAGGUAAAAUAAGUGUGCCUACUAAAGCUGCAACACAUGGAGCAAAACUGCCUGGUAGGCACGCUACAUCCCCUCACCACCUCCAACCUGUUAGUCAAAAGUCCCCUUACAGAUUCUCUGAGUCACUCCAUGGGAGUUUGAACAAUGACAGAGUUGGGCUGAGUGAAGAUGGAAUGGUAGCAAAAUUAAAUGACCAAGCUUACCAACAACCUCCACAACAUAUUGCAGGACUUCAAAAAAAGAUAGAGACAGCUGAAGUUGAAGGUCAGAGUAUGAGAAGCAUAGCUUUAGAGUCUGGAAGGGGACCUGAUAAUCCUGUUCAACAACAAACAUUUCCAAGUCUUUUGCAAGAAGUCUUGCAAGGUUACCACACAGAAAAACGCUAUAGGUAUCCUGAAAACUUAGCUCAACAGUCGCAAACCCGCAGUACUCCUCAAUUUCAAAAUAUGCCUUAUCAAUACCCCCAUUCCAGGCAUCCUAACUCCAUGACUGAAAGUGUCAGAAACCAUUUUUUGUCUCAGAGUAGAAUGAGUAUGAAUUGUCAUAUCCCUAAUGAAUCCUCCUCCCUAGGAAAGACCUAUUCAAAUCAGAGGCGUGAAGGUGUGAUUAACAUGGACCAGGAUACUGGUCGUUCCUGGUGUUCUGGAGGACCUGGAUCUAGGGAAAUUCAAUGGGGUUCUUUUGACAAGAGUAAAAUGAUAGAUUCCCCAAAUCAUCAAGGAAAUAGUAUGCAGCAGUCUUCAGAACUUUCUCUACGGCCCCAUUCAAAGAACAGUAACUCAUCUGACUAUGCCCGUCCUACCAGGAAACCCUCAUCAAAUGAAUUGAACUCCACUUCUGCAGUGCAGCAGUUGCUGCUCAAAGAAGCUGCACCAGCAGAAGGGAAUGAAUCAUCUGUGGGACAAGUUCAGCCUCAUACACCAUCAUCAUCACCAUUGCCCUCUCUCUCAUCCUUGGAGCGACGCUCAGUCAUAUGUGAUCUUUCACCAUCUCCUCUGACCACACCUGAAAGGGACAGAUCUUCAGAUAAAAGAGAUAAAGUGAGUAUUCUACCACAAAUUGGGUCUUCCGGAUCUUCUGUUAUUCAGCAAUCACUUUCUGCUUCAGUGUUAAAUCAAGAGGACAGCCUCAGAGAAGAAAAGGUGUAUAAAGCAAUGUUGAGGGAGGAGGCACUGAAGAUUAUUAAGGAGGACCAAAAUUCUAAAACGUGUAAUUAUAGUCAUUCCUUCACUAAGGAAACUACUAUUCAGCCUCAAAACAGAAUGCAGCAACAUUCUGGCCCUCACCAGUUGGACACGAUUCCUGACCCUCCAAGGGCUUUUAGUGGAGGGAAGGGGAGUGUUAAAACUGGUAAAAUGGCCCCUGUCCAAUCCCAACAAGCCCCACAACAACUCAUACCCACCCAUAAUCCUCUGUCUUCACCACCAUCAUCAAGAUUUCAAGUAUACUUCCAAAGCUUAGAUGAGUCAGGUCAUCACUCUGCUGGUGUAGAUGGUUUUGGAUUGAGAGAUUCAGGGGAGGGGACUGUCAAAAUGAGUCCUCGGCACCACUACCAACUGUCACAUCUCAAUUUGCCUUCAUCUCAACCAAAAAUCUCCCAAUCCACUAAUAAAUUGCAAAUGUAUCCCCACUCUCUCUCUCUCCAGCACUUACACAGUUUAAAUGACAGACUUGACUGGGGCUCAAAUAAUAACCAGCCAUCCUCUCAGGAUUUAAUGAUGUCCCCUAAUUCAAGCCGAAAUCAACACAAUGCAGGAAUUAGAUCCACAACUGAUGUACUAGCUAAUCCACAGCUACCACCUCAUCAGGGCAGUUACUAUGACGUCAAAAUGUGGGGGCCAUCAGUAUCUGGAAGAGAGAACAAAGGGAUAAUGGAGGGAGAUGUCUACCGAAGAAAUGAACCUUGUACUUCUAUUGGUCCCCCUGGGUCAGUUGCCUUGCCCUCAAAGCAACCAGUGGUCUCCAAAAAUCUUGAAUCAAGCCCAUCAAGAAUCGUUACAGAAGAUGUUGUCAAAUCAUUUCACCCAAUGUCUACACCUAUCAAGCAAUCUGAUUGUAGCAGCAUUAACAGUGGUAGUGGAAAUAGUGGUAACUUGGGACCUCAGGGGAAAGCUAAAAUGGGGGGUUCUGUGGACACAAACCCAUUAAUUAUGAGAAGAAGGGUACGUUCUUUCAUCUCCCCAAUUCCUGCAAAAAGGCAGCACCAGGAUGUAUCCCAACAACAGCAGCAAAGAGGUGUUUCAAGUAUGAAUCCAACUCUUUUAUCCAACUCUGACGUUAGACACAGUGUAGAUACUGACUCAUUCAGUCCAGAUGUGCCUAAUCACAAAACGGUCAGUUCCAAUGCUUCUUUAGUGUCUCCUUCACCCUCUUUAGGAAAAAUGGAUGCUUUGCCACCUAGAAAGGGAAGGGGCUUGAAGCUGGAGGCAAUAGUACAAAAAAUUACACCCAGCAUUAAACCAACAAGUGAUGACAGUGAGAGUAAUACUGAUUCAACUUCAGAUAAUCUUUCCAGCUUGUCUCAUACAGAAAUGACAUGCAUCUCGGACCUGAAGGACCACAACUCCAGUGUUGGGGGAAAUUUCUCAAGAAUGGAAACUGGCAGUGGGAGUUGCUUACCGUACUUAAAUGAAGGUAUCUCAUUGGAAGAAAUGAUGUCUUACAGGGGGGUUGAGGAGACGGGGCCUAUGCCUCCCACUGCAUAUCAGUGUGACCCCCAUCAGGACAUACAGAUUCUCAAAUGUGAUUUGACAGAAAAGCCAACCAGGGCAGCUGUUGGGGAUUUGGAGUCUGUAUUAGACUUUGGGAUUGGGGUGCCAGGAGUUAAAAAGUCUGAAAUAGACUCAGCAGGAGAUGGGGAGAAAGAUGAACUAUCCCCUGAUUUUACCCUAUUAGGACCAUUGCCCCCACCCCCUCCAUUACCUCGUCCUGUACAAGCGUCUUCCCCUCCAUCAUCCUCUGCUUUGUCAGAUAUCCAACACUUCACUACAACUUAUCAGCAACUAGAGACUCGUAGAGAACAUUCAGCAGCUACUCUUCUGAGGCAAAAACUUGAAGAGAGUGAGAUGUGUUUGGGGUUGGAUGAUUAUUCUGGGAGGGACUACCUUGGGACUAAGUCACCCCACCACAACCAGAAUCAAAGCAAUUGCACAUUAUCCAUUCCCCCACAUAGCCAGCUUCAUCAGCAGCACAUAUCUGCUGGGACCAUUUCUUCAGUGACUGGCCAGUCACAGUAUACCCAAAUAAAUCCCUCAGAGAAUAUGGUGCCUAAAGGAUAUUUUCCAUCCGGGAAGAAAAGGGGACGACCAGUGGGUAGUGUGAAUAAGCAAAAGCGUGUUCAAGGACAGUCACAAAAUGUGUCCCUUAAUGCCUCCCCUGUUGCUCAAAUGCCUACACAUGUUUCUGCUGCCACACCUCAGGCAGUAGUGCAAAGUAUCAGCCCGACAAUUCCUAUAAAUAAAACCAACUCUGAAGACAAAACCACUACGUCUCUUACUUCUCUUACUGUAACUCAGGCAGCAAAAGAGGAGAUCGAGAGUGAAGAGAGAGAGCCAGAAAUGGAAUCAAAGCCUCACAAACAAAGAGGAAGAAAGAAGGAACACGUGACUGGAGCAGAUGAAGUGGUGAUCAUGCCGACACAGAGGAGAAGGGUUGUAGAUGUGUCUGAAGAAGAGGUAAAAUCGGCAGGAAUAAGAGGAAACAUGAGUCCUAGUGGUGGUUUUCCUACUUGCAGGAAGCCAGUUUUUGCUCCAUACGUUCAUGUAGAAAAAAAGUUUGAGGAGGUGGGAAAUGUAUGCACCAUUGUGAAUGCUGAAGAUGAAAAGAAGAAGGGAGAGAAUGGAGAAGAGAGGGGAGGAAGGUUGGCAGGAAAAGAAGUGGGAGGAGUGUCUGUUGCCCCUGUAAUUUCAACACUGACCUCUCAGUUGACUAGGAAAGAUGUAGAAAGGGUGAGGGUAAAAGAGAAGAGAGGCACAGAAAGGUUAAAUGCUUCCCACAUUCAUUCUAGUCCAACAGAGAAGGUACUUCCUUCCUCGGAAUAUGUUAUUUCAGGAUCGGUGAUGUCUGAGAUUGAUACCUAUGGUCAUCUUCUCUGCUGCUUGUGCAAAAAAUGGGCUAACUACAAAGAUCUUGGUGACCUCUACGGACCUUACUAUCCUCCUGAGUAUGCCACAAGGUUUCCUAGGACUCCCUCUGUAAUCAGGCAGAGCCUUGGGGGAACCAGUGUCGGCACUGUGGGAGCAUUGGCAGGAGCAGCUGAAUUUGAAUCAGCAAAACAGGAGAUUACACCAGUAGCAUUCCAAACCUACGAGCCUAUCACAGACCCCGGUUUCACAGGAAAUCAAGCCACAGACUCACUGGCUGCGACAUCAACGGACACAGAAGGUGCUGUGAGUGCUGAGGAUAGACGUAGUCACUGUAGCAACAACAACGAAGGAAAUGAAGAUUGGGAUCUGACACAAAAACUGACAUCCACUGGUGAGGUGUUGAAACAGGAAGAGCAACCAAAUGAAGUCUCACAAAUGCUACAAAGCGAACAGCACAUAGAGAACACACAGAAAAGACCACAACACAGAAAACUUACUUCUCAUCCAAGAUUUAAAAGGCGACACAAAUCCAGUGAAGAUUUACCCAAAACUGGACCCACCAACAGCAAAGCCUUACUGCCUUUUCAGCCUCCUCCACCUCUACCACUUCCUAGCCAAGAUUUCUCUGAUCCUUCAGCACCAUUGUCCCUGCUUCCUCAUGUUCCCCUGGACCCAGAUGAAUUGUGGGUACACGAGGGAUGUAUAAUCUGGGCCAGUGGGGUGUAUCUCGUCAAUGGAAGGCUCUAUGGUGUGCAAGAGGCACUAGAUGGUGCCAGAGAUACUAGCUGCUCCCAUUGUAUGGCAAUGGGUUCAACACUCGGCUGCUACAGUAAAGGCUGCACACUAAGCUACCAUUAUUUGUGUGCUACGGAGGCAGGCUGUGCUCUGAAUGAAGACAACUUUUCACUGCGGUGUCCAAAGCACAAGUUGUCUGUCUUCCUCUUUGGAAUAUCACCUAGUUCCCUCAGAACCAUCGGCCAGUGAAGCCUGUGUAUCCAGAGCAAUCAGAGAGAGGCUGAGGAAGAGAAAUAAUUCAACACUGAAGAGACUGGACUGACUACACAUCGGAGGGACAUUAAAACCAAUGAGGGGAAUCAAGACAACAAACUUCUAUGAGCGAGAAAUUAUGACAGCCUGGAACAAGAUAAGGGGAAUAUUUUUUAUAAAAGACCAUUUUCUGAAGAAUGGGGGGGGGGAGUUUUUUUUUUUUUGUGCUAAUGCAAAAGAAAUUCCAGAAUAAUGUCAUCAUCAAUGUAAGAACAAAUGAUGAAAAAUGGAUAAAGAUCUAAGGAACUGAGGAGACUGAAUGAGAUUGGGGCAGAAAGCAAAUGACUGAGGAAUGAAAAAAUGUACCGACAGAGACCCACACACUGACACUCGGAAAAAGAGAAACGUUCAAGUUCAACUCCCUUUCAAAACAAAACAGAAAACAAUUUUUGUGAAAUCUGUAGGAAAAAAAAACUGUUGGACUGUUCCACCUUUUCAUCAUGACUACCAUUUCAUUUAUCUUUCAAACCCAAACACUACACAUAUAAGUGGAGCAGAGGGAGUUGGGAAUGAGUGUGGAUAAGGACUGCCAGAGCAUGAAGAAGGGAAAGUAGUUGAGCAGUAAAACAGAAGAGGAGCAGUAUAUUAUUACUUUGAUUCUCAUCAUUUAAUUUCCAUUGGUAUCGUUUCCAUUUUCAAGAUUAUCACCAUGGUCUACUUAAUUCUGACUGGGUGCUUCUCAGUUUUAAAUGAAUUAGUAAACUGAGAUUGAUUGACUACUUUUUCCCCUAAUGUUACUUGUUACAAAAUAAUGCACCACAAUUCAGUUGUCUUAGUGGCCUCUGAGAUUAAUAUUGCCUUGGAAGAUGCUGGCUUGUUGCCUGUUUGAAUUGUGUGUGCGUGUGUGUGCGUGUGUGUGCGUGCGCGUGCGUGUGCGAGACUCUACCUGGAUGUCCAUGAUCCUUUCAAAGGUUCUCCUGUUUUCAUUCUGGAGUUUUUACAAAGCAGACAGAACAGAACAUUUUUACGGAGAAUUGCUCUCAGAUCAGAUGAGUGAUGUAAUUUUUGAGAAAGAGGAUAGAGGGAAUAAUGUAACUGUACCCACAUACUGUAUUGACCCUAAUGGGUAUCUCAACUGACAAGAGUAAAUGGGCUAAAGAUCAAAUCAAACGAAAAGUCUUUUUUUUUUUUUUUUGCAGUAACGUGGUUCAAUAGACAAAGAGACAACAACCUGUGAGUGUGAGAAAAGCAUUCAACCAUCUUACAAAAACAUCAGUAUAAACUCGAGUGUACGUUGAUCUGUAUUAUUAUAGUCAUUAUUUCUAUUGUUUUUUUAUUCUGGUUAAAAAAAGUGACAAUAUCAAAAUGUUGUAUUGGAACUGCCUUGUAAAUAUGUACAUGGAUUAUAAAAAUGACCAAAAUGGGGGAAAAUGCAUGUGAUCAAUGUCUUUACUAUGGACCACUUUUGUCUUUAAGCUGUGUUUAGUUACAAUAUGAAUAUAUUAUAUUAAUUUGUUUAUUCUAUUUAGUGUAUAUCCAUACCUCAGUGUCUGACAUUUUCUGUGUGUCGUCAUUGAGGCUACCAGUUUUUUUUUCUUUUCUUUUCUUUUUACUUUUCACAACACAUUCACUUUGAGGAAGUUAGUUGUUUCUGGGGAAAAAAAUAAAAGAAAAAAGAGGAACAGUGUGAGGGUGUACUUGAGACAAGAAAACGUUAUAGAGCGGUGCACACCACUUCCGAAUUCACUCAAGUUAAACAAGUUAAAAUCCCCGAUGCACAGUGACAAGGGGUUUUUGUAUGGAACCAGAAACAUCUACUUUUUCUUUUAUACACAUUACUUAUUAGCAAUAUGGGAUGGCUGCUGGCUGCAGUGUGUGGCCUAAUGUGUUUUGGAUUUCUGAUUGAAGCCGAACUCUCAGUCACCGUCCAGCAUCCAAUCAGAGUGGCUCUGGCUGGAGAAACACUUCCACUUACGUUUUCUGUGACAGUGCCGAAGAACCAAAGCUCAGACAAAUUUGUCUGCUGUCGUGAUAUCGACAAUGAAGUGUUAUACACUUCUUCCAUCUCAGAAACAAAAACGAUUUCGUGGAACCUGACUGUUUCCAAUAGGGCAGAUUCGGGAGAAUACAGCUGUGAGUACAAGAAGAUAAGAGCCUACUGGGUUGUCCUAGUGAGAGAGGUGGGAUAUAGGGAGUCAGACUCAAGAACUAAUGCACUUCUCCUCCUGAAUGUGAUUCUGAGUGUGGGACUUUUCCUCUUCAGUUUCACUGGGUCCAUAAUCCUUCUUAAGGACUACAGGAAACAGCUCAAACUGGGGGAUGAGAGAACAGAAGAAGGGGGAGGGGAAGGGGAAGGGGAAGGGGAAGGGGAAGGAGUGACUGAAGGGGGAGAUGAAGAUGCCACAAACUCUGUAUACACAGCUCUUGAACAUGGGACUUCCUCAAUUUACAAUGUGCUAGACCCAUCAGCAAAAGACAGCAGCCAAAAACGUGUGCAGCAGCAAGAGACAAAUAAACCACGCGUGACUCAGAACUCACAGAAGGAAGAUGGAAUAUUUGAAUCUGUCUAUGAAAACUUUUGAUGCACUCUUGCCUUUUCUUUCUAGUUUCUUCUUUUCUUGCCCUCUCUCCUUUUCAUCUUCGUUUUCAUUGCUGCAAUAUAUCCCUACUUCAAAAAAAAAAAAACAUGUUUCCAAAUCUCUA